This is a small nucleolar RNA of Trematomus bernacchii (emerald rockcod), 139 nucleotides long. NCBI's taxonomy places the organism in Eukaryota, Metazoa, Chordata, Actinopteri, Perciformes, Nototheniidae. The record is from RefSeq and is a predicted model, not a curated record.
CGGAGCUUGAACCGGAGUUGCGUUGGUGUGAAAGGGGCAUUAGAGCGGUCAACUGGAUGCCGAGAAGAAGACUUCCACCGACGGUCGCUGAUCAGUUUAAAUAUUAACUGUUUCAGCAACAUUAAGGGGAAGGACAUUU